This 999-nucleotide long non-coding RNA is filed under the name Papio anubis (olive baboon). RNAcentral describes it as "lncRNA (ENSPANG00000047697.1)". Lineage: Eukaryota; Metazoa; Chordata; Mammalia; Primates; Cercopithecidae. The record is from RNAcentral.
UGAUUAUACAAUGAUGGUUAUUAUAUUGUAAAGGAAAUUCAUUCUCAUAAUUUGAAAUGUCUCUUAAAAUAUUUGCAUUUGACUGUGAAGUGAUUUAGAGAAAUUCCCUGAUAUUUAAUAUUCUAUUUCUUUUUUAUUCUCAAGUUCAGAAAGAAGUUUCCUAUUAUACCAAAUGCAUAGCCAUGCAGGAAAGGAGAGACUUGUCGCUAGAAAGCGACAGUACACCAUUGAAUCUUUGGGACGAGAAUCCUCAUAAGAAUAGGACCAAUGAAUGGCACUGACAUGAAGCUGAAAGAAGUUUUCUCAUUUGAAAAAUGGAAAAAAGCUCCUCCUUUAUCAGUCACAUGUGAGGUAUCCAGAAGGAAGAAAGAACCAAGCAGUAGGCUGCCUGAAAGAACUUGGACUGAAGGAAGCUCAUUUUCUGCUGAAGGCUCUACAUACAUAUUAAAUCAUUGAAAAUGUUUUAUUAUGUGGCUUAGUAAAUACGGCCAGUGUCAGAAUAUCAGUACUGCAGUGCAUUAUUUUCCAAUUAAAACACUAAUAUUCAGGCUUUUUUUUCUCUUUUUUAUCAGUUUUUCAAUAGGAAGAUGAUGAUGUAAAAUCUCUGUAGGAAAAUGAAGAGGACAGUAGGAAUGAUGUGAGGAUAUUGAGAAUGAGAAAAGAGAUAUUUGUUUAAAAUAAUAUAAACACCAAAAGAACCAUAUAUCUAAAUAAUAUACUAAGAGACUGAUUUGUUUUCAAGCUACAGAUAUCAUCUUACAAUCCAGACAUGAAUAUGUUUCCCAUUCUGUCUCCUUUGAUUCUCUUAAAGAAACUAGCAAAAUUCGGUGCUUAAAGAACCAUCCGUGAGUGAAGUGGUGUAGGAUCCCUCUGGGAGAAUAGGAGGGAUUAUAUUUCUAUCCCCCUGACCUCCCCCAUCCCAGAGAGACAGGACAACCUCAAUUCUAGGUCAACCUGUACUCUAAUGUAGCUUACUAAAAAUUUUGCUAGCAGUGUGAG